Long non-coding RNA from Denticeps clupeoides (denticle herring), 1645 nucleotides. NCBI's taxonomy places the organism in Eukaryota, Metazoa, Chordata, Actinopteri, Clupeiformes, Denticipitidae. The record is from Ensembl.
GCACCGUUAAACUACAAGUCCCAUGAUCCUUUGCGCGUGGAGGCAUCAACGCUCCCAGCCCGUGUUCAUUAGCGCUGUGCAGGCGCUGUCGCCCGGUCCGCGGUCUCUACCGCUGGUCCGGCGGGACUUCAGCUCGUCCCCCCUGGCUGGUGAGUCGCUGUUAACCUGACCGACACGAGCGGAGAGUGCUUUGGGGUUCUUUUCUUUGCCGGUACGCGUUUAAUGCAGCACACGUGGAUACGUCCAGACUCUCCGGGCUGAAGAUGGAAAGUUGGGGACCUUGAUGGACUGUGGGCGGAUGUGGCAACCUGUUCUUUUCGAUUAAAGUCGCACAGCAGACCCGCGUUUAAAUUUUUGGAGGCACGUUUCUACCUACCAAUUAUGUUCCUUGUCUAAUUCGUCGUAUUACGGCGCGGUCUGUUCAAUACGAACCCAUGUUUCCCGGUGGGGUGAUGACCAUGUGCCCUCCGCUGUGCCCUGGGAACCGUGACCUUCAGAAGUGUGACCAACACACUGACCCUGAACUUCAAGGAACUGCAGCUCGAAAUGGCAAACCACACUAUACUCUCUCCAGGGAUCCCGAUUUCGGAUAACGGACAUCAGUGGAUACAAUCAAGAUGGAUACUUUUACCGAUAUUCCCGUAUUGGAAUUACCCAGAAUUCCCCUAACAGAGCCUGCGGUUCCGUGAGCCACAUCAAUAUGCGAAUAUGUGUAACUACACAUGGAUAAGCCAGACCUGGACUAAAGGUCGACUGGCAGGUCAGUGGGAGAAGUUGCAGAGGAAAGUCGGGUUGGAAACGAACAGUGACCUUAAACCAACAAAUCAGCUGGGCCUAAACACCCCCAUCCAGACAUCUGGACCUCAUGGACAGACAUGUCUUUUGGCACUACUAAAAUAGUAUUGAAAGAUUGAGAGGUCCUGUGUCUAGCAAUCUACCCCCUUUCUUUGACUAAAUGAAUUUUAGUUUAUUUCAAUGAUAUAUUGUAUCAUUCUGGUUUAUUUGAUUUGAAAUUACUAUAAACCAUUUAUAAUUAAAGACCCAGUUUAUGGUGGGCUAACACAAACGUAAUUAAUAAUAAUUAGGAUUUCCUUGAAUUAUGACUUAAAAAGUCGAAUUGAUUGUGCAGCCAGAAUGACUUUUUACCCCAACACCUCUCCCUGUCAGUGUUUGUUGUAUUCAGAAACACCUUUAUCCUGCUCAUGAUGAAGAUGAAUUAUUUUAUUUUUGCCACAUCACGCUAACACACACACCCUCUCCUCCAUCUGGAUUGUGUUUGUUUGGCUUGGUCGUGGUUCUAGCUGCACCUCGGGGCGGUGCGCUGGCUUCACCCUCCUCCAGAUGGACGUCGGACCGCAGUGGAGCUUGGCUGUGGACCGGCCCCUCUCCCUGGGCCUGACGCAACCUCCUAUCACCCAUCUUCAGCACUGAAUACCCGGCCGUGACCAGGCUCAGUGCCCAGGUGUGCCCUGCCUGCUUACAUCACAACCAGAUGGGGCAGACAGCGCUACUGAUGUGCCCACAGAGCCCCCCAGUUCCUUCACAAGCGCUUUUGUUUUUAGUCUAACGAACUGUUCCUAUCACAUAUUUCCAAUAGGAAAUAAAAAAAAGUAUGAAAUUCAAACUGUUUCCUGGCCUAUCUCCU